Molecule: long non-coding RNA, 2135 nt
Organism: Boleophthalmus pectinirostris (great blue-spotted mudskipper)
Lineage: Eukaryota; Metazoa; Chordata; Actinopteri; Gobiiformes; Gobiidae
Exons: 4
Source: RefSeq, a predicted model, not a curated record
UACAUACAUACAUACAUACAUACAUACAUACAUACAUACAUACAUACAUACAUACAUACAUACAUACAUACAUACAUACAUACAUACAUACAUACAUACAUACAUACAUACAUACAUACAUACAUUCAUACAAAUUGUGUUUUAUUUCAUUCACACAUAAUGUUUAACACAAAUCCUUUACAUUUAGACUGAGGUCUUCUCUCAAACAGAAAACUCUGUUUCACCUUGUGAUGUCAUGUGGUAAUACCAAACAUGCUCCACUGUGUUUUUAAACUCCAUACAGCUUGACUAGAAUCAUUUGGAUACCUUCAGCCCUGAAAUUGCACAUCACAACUGAACAAAAAGUAAAAGGUAUCACUACAUGACAUCACAAGGUGGAACAGAGCAUUUUGAGCUUUGCUGAUGUAGACAGAUUAUUAUUAUUAAAGGAUUACUCAAACACCCUGGGCCUUUCUGUGUAGAGUUUACGUGUUUCUCCCUGUGUCUGGAUGGGUUUCCUCCGGGCGCUCCGGUUUCCCCCAUCAACCCAAGAAUAGCUGAUAGCCAAGGUCAGUUAAAUACAAUCAAUCACUGAAACUGCCCAGGGACUACAGGUGGAAAUUAGCACUGGUGCUACAACCUGGUACAAUGCAUCUCUCCUGUUAAGGUUAAUGUAAGAAUUAUGUGCUGUCCCUGUCUCAAAAAAAACACAAAAACAGUACAGUGCAUUGAAAUGCAGUUUGUUCAUCUGACCAGUGUGUGUGUGUGUGUGUGUGUGUGUGUGUGUGUGUAUUGUUUCUACCUAAAAGGUAUAUUGUAAAAGCAGAACAUUUUUUGCUCUCUGUAGAUAACAAUAAACUAUUUUUCUUUAACUCAGAAGUAAGAAGUGAAAGCACCAUUAACUGUUCCACUUUGUUUCACUUUGCUGUCUAAUAAAAGUCAUUGUGAAAUCUAGGGCGAGUUAGACAGACUUAAAUACCCCCUUCCUCUUCCUCUUCUCCUUCCUCCUUUCACACUCACUUUUGAGAAGCAGUUUUUGUUACACAAGAGAACCCCGCAAAUGGAAAUGGCAGAGUGCUUUCCAGCACAGAUUGAACAGCAGGAUUAAAGCACCUGAUCAACAACAGUGUACACUGCUGACGCACGGACACUGUAGUGUCCCUGUAGGGACAGCAACUGCUGAAACUUUAUUCAACAGUUUGAACCUUGAAAGAGUUUCUGUUAGAUAAAAACUGAUGGAAUUUGUCAAUGUUCCAGUGAUAAUGAAAGCCACAUGAAUCAAAGGCAGACCUGAAAUUUGAAAUGUUGUUUUGUGUUUGUUGCUCUAAGUCCCUCCUCCACUUGCUAUUCAAAUCAAGUCACUCCCCCUUUUAUAAUGGAACUACUUCCAUCACAUCAGGUUUGUGAAAUUGUUGUGUAUUGUUUUGUAUCAUGCUUUUGUAUAUUUAUUUCUAUAAUCUUAUUAAUUAAUUUAUUUAUUUAAAGCAUACAUACAUUUUAAACAUUUUAAAAUGCAAGAUAACAGGUGCAAAACAUUAGUCACAAGACCUGUUCAUUCAAAUGAUAAAGUAAAAAUAAAAAGUCAUUGGCCCUUUUGAAAAACAAUAAUGAUAACUGAACUUUCAUUUGUCUAAGGAGAUACUGAAAAUGAUUCUUGUUAGGUCUGUUGUAGCAUGCACCUCUCAGAGUGAUGUAAUGUACUGCUGAAUGCCACUAUCUACUUAGAAACGAGAAAUGAGGAACCAGAAAAAACCACAUGAGAAACACAUAUGUAAUAUGUUUCUCACAAGUAAUGCAUCAAAGAUCUGUGCUGUAGAGCUCCAGCUCACAUUUAUAUCAGACCUGAGUCUGCAGAGAGAAGAUGGAGGAGCACAGGGUUCAUGUCAAAAGGAACAGGAGAAACUCUGGAAGUGUCUCUGAUUCACAGACUGCCACCGAACCAGGGAAAUGGAUUCUCCUGGUCUGCAUCAGCUUUGGUCUUCUGUGCAUCAUACAAGCUUCUCUCAAUGUUUAUUUACGUCUCUACCUUCCUCCAGACAUCGACAUGAGCCCAUGUGACAAUGUAACUGCUGAGAGGGACACACUUGAGAAAUUUCUUCAAACUAGUCGUCAAGACCUGUCGAAGCAAACUGAUGAGCUGCAGAAAAGCCAUUCUU